RNAcentral lists this transfer RNA (67 nucleotides) under Marmota monax (woodchuck). Its description in RNAcentral is "tRNA.Leu". Lineage: Eukaryota; Metazoa; Chordata; Mammalia; Rodentia; Sciuridae. The record is from RNAcentral.
GGGGUUGUGGCUCAGUGGGAGAGCGCUUGUCUAACACAGGAGGCAAUGGGUUCGAUACUUAGCACCA